UACGGAGGGUGCAAGCGUUAUCCGGAUUCACUGGGUUUAAAGGGUGCGUAGGAGGGCAGGUAAGUCAGUGGUGAAAUCUCCAAGCUUAACUUGGAAACUGCCGUUGAUACUAUCUGUCUUGAAUACCGUGGAGGUGAGCGGAGUAUGUCAUGUAGCGGUGAAAUGCUUAGAUAUGACAUAGAACACCACUUGCGAAGGCAGCUCGCUACACGAAUAUUGACUCUGAGGCACGAAAGCGUGGGGAUCAAACAGG
This 253-nucleotide ribosomal RNA is filed under the name uncultured bacterium. RNAcentral describes it as "partial 16S ribosomal RNA". It matches the Rfam family "Bacterial small subunit ribosomal RNA", at positions 524 to 776 of the family's 1533-position model. The record is from RNAcentral.